AAAUGCUUAUGUACUCAACAGAUAUUUUAUGAUCAAGUGUUGCUAACAUUUUUGUUAUUUUGUUGUUGAUGUGUUAGGCACGUGGUUGAAAACAGCCAACCACCAGUUUUAAUCUGCCAUAAUGACGUACAACCAGGAAACUUGUUGGUGAAAGCAAAUGAAGAUCUCGAUGAG
Molecule: long non-coding RNA, 174 nt
Organism: Xenia sp. Carnegie-2017
Lineage: Eukaryota; Metazoa; Cnidaria; Anthozoa; Malacalcyonacea; Xeniidae
Exons: 2
Source: RefSeq, a predicted model, not a curated record